AACGAACGCUGGCGGCAGGCCUAACACAUGCAAGUCGAGCGCCCAGCAAUGGGAGCGGCGGACGGGUGAGUAACGCGUGGGAAUUUUUCCUGGAGUACAGAACAACCGAGGGAAACUUCGGCUAAUACCGUAUGAUGCCGAGAGGCCAAAGAUUUAUCGCUCUGGGGUGAGCCCGCGUCAGACUAGGUAGUUGGUGGGUAAAGGCCUACCAAGCCUGCGAUCUGUAGCUGGC
This 232-nucleotide ribosomal RNA is filed under the name uncultured bacterium. RNAcentral's name for it is "partial 16S ribosomal RNA". It matches the Rfam family "Bacterial small subunit ribosomal RNA", at positions 29 to 291 of the family's 1533-position model. The record is from RNAcentral.